This 406-nucleotide ribosomal RNA is filed under the name uncultured bacterium. RNAcentral describes it as "partial 16S ribosomal RNA". It matches the Rfam family "Bacterial small subunit ribosomal RNA", at positions 30 to 526 of the family's 1533-position model. The record is from RNAcentral.
AUUGAACGCUGGCGGCAGGCCUAACACAUGCAAGUCGAACGAGUUGCGGACGGGUGAGUAAUGUCUGGGACACUGCCUGAUGGAGGGGGAUAACUACUGGAAACGGUAGCUAAUACCGCAUACCAUCUGAUUUGCCCAGAUGGGAUUAGCUAGUAGGUGGGGUAAAGGCUCACCUAGGCGACGAUCCCUAGCUGGUCUGAGAGGAUGACCGGCCACACUGGAAGUGAGACACGGGCCAGACUCCUACGGGAGGCAGCAGUGGGGAAUAUUGCACAAUGGGCGAAAGCCUGAGGGAGCAAUGCGGCGUGUAUGAAGAAGGCCUUCGGGUUGUAAAGUACUUUAAGCGGGGAGGCGUUACCCGCAGAGGAAGCAACGGCUAACUCCGUGCCAGCCGCCGCGGUAAUAC